AUUGAACGCUGGCGGCAGGCUUAACACAUGCAAGUCGAGCGAGCGGCGGACGGGUGAGUAAUGUCUGGGAAACUGCCUGACGGAGGGGGAUAACUACUGGAAACGGUAGCUAAUACCGCAUAGCACCAGAGGGGACCAGAUGGGAUUAGCUAGGGGGUGGGGUAAUGGCUCACUUAGGGGACGAUCCCUAGCUGGUCUGAGAGGAUGACCAGCCACACGGGAACUGAGACACGGUCCAGACUCCUACGGGAGCCAGCAGUGGGGAAUAUUGCACAAUGGGCGCAAGCCUGAUACAGCCAUGCCGCGUGUGUGAAGAAGGCCUUCGGGUUGUAAAGCACUUUCAGCGAGGAGGCGUUACUCGCAGAAGAAGCACCGGCUAACUCCGUGCCAGCAGCCGCGGUAAUUC
This 406-nucleotide ribosomal RNA is filed under the name uncultured bacterium. RNAcentral's name for it is "partial 16S ribosomal RNA". It matches the Rfam family "Bacterial small subunit ribosomal RNA", at positions 29 to 526 of the family's 1533-position model. The record is from RNAcentral.